UACAGAGGUCCCAAGCGUUGUUCGGAUUCACUGGGCGUAAAGGGUGCGUAGGUGGUGAGGUAAGUCGGAUGUGAAAGCUCCGAGCUCAACUCGGAAAUGGCAUUGGAAACUACCUUGCUCGAGGGUUUGAGGGGGGACUGGAAUACUUGGUGUAGCAGUGAAAUGCGUAGAUAUCUGGAGGAACACCGGUGGCGAAGGCGGCAUCCUGGACCAAUAUUGACGCUGAGGAGCGAAAGCCAGGGGAGCAAACGGG
Molecule: ribosomal RNA, 253 nt
Filed under: uncultured bacterium
Lineage: Bacteria
Description: partial 16S ribosomal RNA
Rfam family: Bacterial small subunit ribosomal RNA
Source: RNAcentral